AUGGGGACGUGUGUCCCCUUUGUCCCUCAGUGUCCCCCUGUGUCCCUCCAUGUCCCUCCGGGUCCUUCCGUGUCACUCCGUAUCCCACAGUGUUCUUCCAUGUCUCCCUGUGUCCCCCCGUGUCCCCCCGUGUCCCCCCGUGUCCCCCCGUGUCCCUCCGUGUCCCCCGUGUCCCUCCAUGUCCCUCAGUGUCCCUCCGUGUCCCUCCAUGUCCCUCAGUGUCCCCCCGUGUCCCUCCAUGUCCCCCCGUGUCCCCCCGUGUCCCUCCGUGUCCCUCCAUGUCCCCCCGUGUCCCCCCGUGUCCCCCCGUGUCCCCCCGUGUCCCUCAGUGUCCCCCCGUGUCCCUCCGUGUCCCCCCGUGUCCCUCCGUGUCCCCCGUGUCCCCCCGUGUCCCCCCGUGUCCCUCAGUGUCCCCCCGUGUCCCCCCGUGUCCCUCCGUGUCCCCCCGUGUCCCUCAGUGUCCCCCCGUGUCCCCCCGUGUCCCCCCGUGUCCCCCCGUGUCCCCCGGGCCCUGACGCCGUGUCCGUGGCUGGGUCCCAGCCAGGCCGGUGGCAGCGCAGGGGGGAAGGAGGGGGUGGCACGGUGCCACCAUGUCCCCGACGAGCGGGGCUGCUCCGGGCUGCACCUGCAGCCAGCGGGGUUUUCGUGCUGGGACAGCAAUGGGGGCUGAGACAGGAGGGGACAGGGACCGUGGGGCAGGAGGGGACAGCCCCAGUGCCCCGGCAGGGGACAGGCUCCACGCUCCGCAGUGGGGACAAGCCGCUGCUGUCCCCGCGCGGUGGCACUGACGGGCCCGGCGCGCCCCCCGGUGCCCGUCGCCGAUGUCGCAUCCGCCGCCAGCCCCGCUCGGCAUUCCCGGCUCUGCGGCCACCCCGCUGCUCGUCCCUGUGCCGGGGACACCCCAAAGAGAGGCCCGAGGGACCCCCGCGUCCGCCUCCCCAUUGUCCCCCACCGCGGACUGGCGCCUGUGCCCGGGGACAAGGGACCUUGUCUGCCACCACCCUCGAGGCUGCAGCUUUGUGCCCAGCUCGCGACACCCCAAAAGCCUUUCCCUCCUGCCAGGGGGUGUUUGGGAUUGGGGACAGAGCCCAGGAAUGCCGGACCCGCCCCCCCAGCACCCCAGUCCUGGCGAGGGUGCACGUGAGACCCCCCCCAGCAGCGGCACGGAGCCCCCAAGGCCGUCCCGUCGCGGGGUGA
This 1197-nucleotide long non-coding RNA is filed under the name Corvus moneduloides (New Caledonian crow). RNAcentral's name for it is "lncRNA (ENSCMUG00000019730.1)". Lineage: Eukaryota; Metazoa; Chordata; Aves; Passeriformes; Corvidae. The record is from RNAcentral.